UACGAAGGGGGCAAGCGUUAUCCGGAAUUAUUGGGCGUAAAGAGCUCGUAGGCGGUUUGUCGCGUCUGCCGUGAAAGUCCGGGGCUCAACUCCGGAUCUGCGGUGGGUACGGGCAGACUAGAGUGAUGUAGGGGAGACUGGAAUUCCUGGUGUAGCGGUGAAAUGCGCAGAUAUCAGGAGGAACACCGAUGGCGAAGGCAGGUCUCGUGGGCAUUAACUGACGCUGAGGAGCGAAAGCAUGGGGAGCGAACAGG
Molecule: ribosomal RNA, 254 nt
Filed under: uncultured bacterium
Lineage: Bacteria
Description: partial 16S ribosomal RNA
Rfam family: Bacterial small subunit ribosomal RNA
Source: RNAcentral